AACGAACGCUGGCGGCAUGCCUAACACAUGCAAGUCGAACGAGACCUUCGGGUCUAGUGGCGCACGGGUGCGUAACGCGUGGGAACCUGCCCUUAGGUUCGGAAUAACUCCCCGAAAGGGGUGCUAAUACCGGAUAAUGUCUUCGGACCAAAGAUUUAUCGCCUUUGGAUGGGCCCGCGUGGGAUUAGCUAGUUGGUAGGGUAAAAGCCUACCAAGGCGACGAUCCAUAGCUGGUCUGAGAGGAUGAUCAGCCACACUGGGACUGAGACACGGCCCAGACUCCUACGGAAGGGAGCAGGGGUGAAUAUUGGACGAUGGGCGAAAGCCUGAUCCAGCAAGGCCGCGUGAGUGAUGAAGGCCUUAGGGUUGUAAAGCUCUUUUACCCGGGAUGAUAAGGACAGUACCGGGAGAAUAAGCUCCGGCUAACUCCGU
RNAcentral lists this ribosomal RNA (432 nucleotides) under uncultured bacterium. RNAcentral's name for it is "partial 16S ribosomal RNA". It matches the Rfam family "Bacterial small subunit ribosomal RNA", at positions 29 to 506 of the family's 1533-position model. The record is from RNAcentral.